AAGCCACACCCUUUCUUUCUGAAGGUUGGAUUGGUCGGCGCCGCAGAAACCAAGGUGGAGUCAAAAGGCCGAAAUCCCGCCCACCUCCCGCGGAUCACCACACCCUCUGAAGAUGGUAUAUGGAGCACAAAAAGCUCAUCCUCAGGAAGGUCUCUUCUCAGCCGGGGCUCAGGAGCCACACAAUCAGCAGCUGCAAUGCACCAGAACUAGUAAACAGGAUGGGUCCCAGCUCACUAACAGUUUUGCUGCCUGGUGCCACCUGGUGGUGAUAAGCAGUAAAUGGGUGACAGGAAAAAGGAUGGCUAUUUGUUAGAAGUGUCUGAGAGUACCAACACUUCCUGGAUUUGCAACCUGCAUUUGUAUGUAAACUACAAUGGCCUCCUAGGGGAGGCAGAGGGUUGGUUGUGGUAAUCUGGCCCCAGCCCACUCUCCAAGGUAGAAUGGGCAAGAUUGGAGAUUUCAUCUGUAUUAUUCCCAGCAAGUUACAGCAAAGUAGUGGUCCCAUUGUUGGCUGACUCUAUCAUUAGAACCUUCUUAUGCCAAGUCUGGAGUCAGACUGCCUGAAUAGAUUCCUGGCUCUAUUCCUUACUAGUUGUGGAACUCUGAGCUGAUUACUCUUUAAGGUGCUUUCUCCUCUACAAACAGGUAUGAUAAUACCCAUUGUGUCAAUGAGAUAUUGCAUGUAAAGUGCAUAGCACAAAGUACCUUGUUCAAUAAAUGUUAGCUAUUAUUCUAGAA
Pteropus alecto (black flying fox) is the source of this 738-nucleotide long non-coding RNA. RefSeq lists it as uncharacterized. The transcript has 2 exons. The record is from RefSeq and is a predicted model, not a curated record. Lineage: Eukaryota; Metazoa; Chordata; Mammalia; Chiroptera; Pteropodidae.